GAUGAAGAACGCAGCGAAAUGCGAUAAGUAGUGUGAAUUGCAGAAUUCAGUGAAUCAUCGAAUCUUUGAACGCACAUUGCGCCCUUUGGUAUUCCUUAGGGCAUGCCUGUUCGAGCGUCAUUUAAACCUUCAAGCUAAGCUUGGUGUUGGGUGACUGUCCGCUUCACUGCGGACUCGCCUCAAAAUUAUUGGCGGCCGGUACAUUGGCUUCGAGCGCAGCAGAAACGCGAACUCGGGCCCGUCGUAUUGGCUCCCAGAAGCUAUCUUCACAAUUUUGACCUCGGAUCAGGUAGGGAUACCCGCUGAACUUAAGCAUAUCAUAAGCGGAG
RNAcentral lists this unclassified non-coding RNA (329 nucleotides) under soil metagenome. Its description in RNAcentral is "partial contains 5.8S ribosomal RNA, internal transcribed spacer 2, and large subunit ribosomal RNA". The stretch from base 1 to 120 matches the Rfam family "5.8S ribosomal RNA", at positions 35 to 154 of the family's 154-position model. The record is from RNAcentral.